AGGCCUGAGCUGAUUCUUGAGUCACAGAGACUUUCACGGUCCGCCUGGUGAUGGGUCCCUGAGGCGUGGCAAAGCAGGACCCCUUCGUGGCAGUGCGUCGGUGUCGCGACUCCACCCUGACGUCUCCAGGAACUAGAGAGGGAUGGUCUCCGGACGCCAGGAGUCGCGGAGGGCCGACCAGGAUGAAGAAACUUCAGGCGGAGUCCCAGGAGAGCAGCGCGGGAUCCCAGCCUCAGCCUGCCCAGACGGAUCAAGACGGCCGCACCACACCCAAGGAUAGUAUUUUAAAAAGCAUCACCGGAGCUCAUUGUCCUUCUGCAGGAGAGGUGCAGACCGACCUCCAAGAAGAUGGUUCUAACUCCUCCCACCCUCUCUUCCCAUUGAGAAAUGGAGCCCCACCGUGACAGUGACACAGGCUUGGAGAAGAAGUCGAGAACGGGACGUGGCAAGGAUCUCUGUCACUCCAACGCUGGCCUUUCUGGCCAAGUCACCCGUUUGGCACUCCUUCCCGGAAGCCCAUGGCGGUGGCAUUGUGCUGUAUCCCGCCUGGGCUCUGACCUCUACACUGUCCUCCCUCUUGGUCUGUCUGCCAUGUUUCUGACGGGCCUGGAUGCUUCUUGGUCUGGCUCAGUGUCUUCCACAGAGAACACUUUUGAGUCCAUCACGGAGAAACUGCUUGGAAAUCCAUUUCGUGAUUAUUGUCAUCAUAAAUCAUCAAAAUGUCAUCUGAUAGAACAUAUUUUUCUAAGUUAAUUUACUUAUGAGACAUUUACAAGGGUAUAGAAUAAUGUACUCAGUGAAUGUAGUCGUCUCAUUUAAUCUUUGAUGUUUUAGAUGACGAUAUUUCUUUUUUUGAGACAGAGUCUCACUCUGUCACCCAGGCUGGAGUGCAAGAGGGAGAUCACAGCUCACUGCAGCCUCGACUUCCCAGGGUCAAGGGUCCUCCAACCUCAGUUUCCCAAGUAGCUGUGGCUACACGCAUGCACCACCAUAUCCGGCUUUUUGUAAAUUUUGUAGAGAUGAGGUUUUGCUGUCUUGCCCAGGCUGGUCCUGAACUCCUGGGCUCCAGCAGUCUGCCCACCUCGGCCUCCCAAAGUGCUGGGAUUACAGGCAUCAGCCAUCAAAUCUGGCUAGGAUGACUUGGUUUUCUUAUUGGCAUAUUCUAUAUUCACCAAAUAAAGUAUCUACAGUCUCAGUCCAGGUAGGGUAAGCAAAAAUAAAUAAAUAAAUAAUCUACAGUAAUUUUGCAUACUUAUAUUCUAAAUUUAGGUACAAAUCCAUAGCUUAUAUGGUCUAAUUUUAAAGUUUUUUAAACAAUAUAAGUAAUGGCCAUGUAAAUCUUUUCAUAGCUUUUUUAAAUUAAAAUAGAUUUGAAAGUAUACCUAAAUCAUUUUGGGUUUUUUUGUUUCUGUUUUUGUUUUUUGUUUCUGCAGUGCAGUGGCGUGAUCUCGGCUCACUGGAACCCCUGCCUCCCAGGUUCAAGCAAUUCUCUGCUUCAGCCUCCCCAGUAGCGAGGAUUACAGGCGCCCGCCACCAUGCCCAGCUAAUUUUUUUUUUUUUUUGUAUUUUUUAGUAGAGACGGGAUUUCACCAUCUUGGCCAGGCUGGCCUUGAACUCCUGACCUCAUGAUCUACCUGACUCGGCCUCCCAAAGUGGUGGGAUUACAGGCGUGAGCCACCACUCCCAGCCCCUAAAUCUUAAAAAUAUAAAGAGACAUUUUUUUAAAAAUCAGUUUUAAAUGAGUUAAGCAUUACAUUUCCAGUUGUUUAUAUUUCAAUGAGGACUGACUGAAUUGUAUUUUUUAAAAAAACCAUCUGGCCAGGCGCAGUGGCUCACGCCUGUAAUCCCAGCACUUUGGGAGGCCGAGGCAGGUGGAUCAUCUGAAGUCGGGAGUUCGAGACCAGCCUGACCAACAUGGGGAAACCCCAUCUCUACUAAAAAUACAAAAUAUUAGAUGGGCAUGGUGGUGCAUGCCUGUAAUCCCAGCUUCUUGGGAGGCUGAGGUAGGGGAAUCACUUGAACCUGGGAGGUAGAGGUUGCGGUGAGCCAAGAUCAAGCCAUUGCACUCCAGCCUGGGCAACAAAAGUGAAACUCCAUCUCAGAAAAAAACAAAAACAAAAACAACAAAAUCUCCAUGUAGCCUUGAAUUAGUAACACAUCUAUCUUUUCUUUGAUGUGGUGUCUACUUCUCUUCACAGAAAGUUUGCAUUCUUUUCUAUUAGUAGUGAAAGAGAUGCUGUACAUGACAGUCUCAUCUUUUAUUCAAAUGGAAAGAUUAUCAAACUAUUUCUGAAGACAAUGCUUUUAAAUAUUAUUUAUAUAUUAAUCUUUUAAGUAAACAAUUUCUAUCUUAUUCCCUA
Gorilla gorilla gorilla (western lowland gorilla) is the source of this 2360-nucleotide long non-coding RNA. RefSeq lists it as uncharacterized. The record is from RefSeq and is a predicted model, not a curated record. NCBI's taxonomy places the organism in Eukaryota, Metazoa, Chordata, Mammalia, Primates, Hominidae. The transcript has 2 exons.